GCCGGGGCGGUGCCGGUGCUGCGCGGCCCCGCCGCCGCUCCCAGCCGCUAUAAGCGGGCGGCCGCGGCCGCGCUCCGCAGUGCAUGGCCGAACCCAGACCGGCCCCCGCCGCUCCGCCGGGACCCUCCCCCGGGCCGGGACCCUCCCCCGGGCCGGUCCCGGCCGCCCCCCGCGCCCCCUCCCUGCCAGCCGUGACCUUGGCAUCCGCCGGCCCUGGGGACAGCCGCCGUGGGAUGCGUUAGGCGGCGGAUCGCACGGGAAUAUUCCUCCCGGCAGAAGGACAGCGGCAGGAAAAGCGGAUUUAAAGAGCAUCUUUGCCCCUUUGUUGGAUGAGAAGGACGGGGAAGGAGCGGCAGAAUGAGCACUAGCAUUCCCUAUCAGCAAAACCCCUACACCCCUGGGAGCAGCUCCUCUGCCAUCCAGUGCUAUCGCUGCGGGGACACCUGCAAGGGCGAGGUCGUGCGUGUGCAGAGCAACCACUUCCACAUCCGCUGCUUCACCUGCCAAGUGUGCGGCUGCGACCUGGCCCAGUCGGGCUUCUUCUUCAAGAACCAGGAGUACAUCUGCACCCACGACUACCAGCAGCUCUACGGGACCCGCUGUGACAGCUGUGGGGACUUCAUCACCGGCGAGGUCAUCUCUGCCCUGGGCAGGACCUACCACCCCAAGUGCUUCGUCUGCAGCACCUGCAGGAAGCCGUUCCCCAUCGGAGACAAGGUGACGUUCAGCGGCAAGGACUGCGUCUGCCAAAACUGCUCCCACUCCCUCCUCAGCACCAAGCCCAUCAAGAUCCACGGGCCCAGCCACUGCGCCGGCUGCAAGGAGGAGAUCAAGCAGGGCCAGUCGCUGCUGGCCCUGGAGAAGCAGUGGCACGUCAGCUGCUUCAAGUGCCAAACGUGCGGGAUCAUCCUGACCGGCGAGUACAUCAGCAAGGAUGGCAUCCCGUACUGCGAGUCCGACUACCACGCCCAGUUCGGCAUCAAGUGCGAGACCUGUGACCGCUACAUCAGUGGCCGUGUGCUGGAGGCAGGAGGGAAGCACUACCACCCCACCUGUGCCAGAUGUGUGCGCUGCCACCAGAUGUUCACAGAGGGAGAGGAGAUGUACCUGACAGGCUCUGAAGUGUGGCACCCCAUCUGCAAGCAGGCAGCCAGAGCAGAGAAGAAGCUGAAGCACAGAAGAACGUCAGAAACCUCCAUCUCCCCCCCUGGCUCCAGCAUCGGCUCCCCAAACCGUGUCAUCUGCGCCAAAGUGGAUAAUGAGAUCCUUAAUUACAAAGACCUGGCAGCUCUUCCCAAGAUUAAAGCCAUCUAUGAAGUGCAGCGUCCUGACCUCAUUUCCUACGAGCCCUAUCACAGAUACACGUCGGAUGAGACGCUGGAGAGAUAUAGCUAUGGGGAGUCCCUGGGGACCCUCUCCCCAUACUCACAGGACAUCUACGAGAGCUUUGACACGCGGCAGAGAAGAGCCUCCAGCCCUGGCUACAUCGACUCCCCCACCUACAGCCGCCAGGGCAUGUCCCCCACCAUCCCCAGGUCCCCACACCAUUUCUACCGCUCAGGCACCGAGAGCGGGCGCAGCUCCCCCUACUAUAGCCAGUUAGAUGUGAGGUCCUCCACUCCAACCUCAUACCAAGCGCCCAAGCAUUUCCACAUCCCAGCUGCUGGAGAGAGCAACAUCUACAGGAAGCCUCCCAUCUACAAGCGCCACGCCACGAAAAGCAAAACCAGCGAGGACAUCGCACAGUCCUCCAAGUACAGCCCUGCCUACUCCCCCGAUCCCUACUACCACUCCGAGUCGGAAUACUGGUCCUUCCAAGGCUCUCCCAAAGCUCCCAGAGCCCGGAGGUUCUCGUCAGGGGGUGAGGAGGAUGGGUACGACCGGGGCAUGCACAAGAUCCAGAGUGGCAUCGGGAGGCUGAUCCUGAGGGAGGAGAUGAAGGCUCGGUCCAACUCCUACGCAGACCCCUGGACACCCCCUCGCAGCUCGGCCAGCAGCAGAGAGGCGCUGCACACAGCGGGCUACGAGGGCUCCCUCAAUGGCUCUCCCCGAAGCCACUACCUGGCCGACAGCGAUCCCCUCAUUUCUAAGUCAGCCUCCCUUCCUGCCUACAGGAGGAAUGGGCUGCACAGGCCUCCCAGCGCGGAGCUUUUCCACUACGACAGCACCAACGCCGUCAACUGGGGGAUGCGAGAGUACAAGGUAAGACCCUUCUGCUGCAAGGAGCGGCCACCAGGCAGAGGUGGGAGUCCCAGGGAUGUGUCCAUGUGUCCCCAGGCUCUCCAGAGGGAAGACCUUUGUUCCCCUCCAUCCUCCACCUGACAGCCCCAUCCCAGGGCUGUGGGGCUCAGAGCAGAGUCCCUCCCCUCCUGCCAGGUCCCAGGUGCUUGGGACAAUGUUUGCUGAGCAGAAUUGUCCCCGGGUGAGGAACAGAGAAGGGGUUUGUGCUGCUGGUUUCCUGCUCACGCUCCUGCCUGGGUCAUUCCUGGCUUUGCAGAGUGAGCAGGUUAUUCCAGAGCACCGUGGAGAUUCUGGGUGGAUCAGAGCCACCCUGAGAGCAAUUCCCACCUCUCCUUGUCCCAUCCAAGCCCUGGAGUCAGCUGUGCCACCCAAACCCUUGCCCUCAUUCCCAAGUGUGCCCUGAGUGUCUCGUGGCUGCCCCACGUGUCCCUGUCCCCCUGCAGAUCUACCCCUACGAGCUGCUCCUGGUGAAGACCAGGGGGAGGAACCAGCUGCCCAAAGAUGUGGACAGGACUCGGUUAGAGAGACAUCUGUCCCAGGAGGAAUUCUACCAGAUCUUCGGGAUGACCAUGGCCGAGUUCGACCGCCUGGCGCUGUGGAAGAGGAACGAGCUGAAGAAGCAGGCCCGGCUGUUUUAAAUGCAGUGCACUAUAAAUAUAUACAUACCUAUAAAUAUAUACAUAGAGAGA
Poecile atricapillus (Black-capped chickadee) is the source of this 2930-nucleotide RNA transcript. It is a transcript of the gene named actin binding LIM protein family member 3, with no coding region annotated. NCBI's taxonomy places the organism in Eukaryota, Metazoa, Chordata, Aves, Passeriformes, Paridae. The record is from RefSeq and is a predicted model, not a curated record. The transcript has 22 exons.